Molecule: ribosomal RNA, 387 nt
Filed under: Triticum aestivum (bread wheat)
Lineage: Eukaryota; Viridiplantae; Streptophyta; Magnoliopsida; Poales; Poaceae
Description: partial small subunit ribosomal RNA
Source: RNAcentral
AUGGGAGCUGGAGAUCCUGACGCGACGGAUCUACUUCGAGGCUACCGAAUCAGAGCGCACCGGGAUGCCGAGGUGCCCACCUACGCUGCUGAUAGAGAUGAUGAAUUAGGCAAAGCAGGAGGUGAGAUCCGAAGAUCCGAGACGCAAGGGGAGAUGGGAGUGCAUCCUGGGCAUUCUGCCCACCAACGCGCUACCACCUCCGGAUCCAUGGAUCCCGCAUCUUAUCUGUUGCCGGAGUUGGCUCGUUGUAUGCUUUCAUGUGGCACCCUAGAUGACCCCAAGAGGAGGGGUUGUGCAGUGGUAUUGGAUCCCUCACCUGCGAAUCUGGGUAGGCAAGAGGGGAGUGGUGCACUCAGAUCACUUGAUGUUGCUCCUCCUGGUGGCUAA